GACGAACGCGGCGGCGUGCUUAACACAUGCAAGUCGAACGGAGCGAAUGAAAGCUUGCUUUUAUAAGCUUAGUGGCAAACGGGUGAGUAACACGUAGGCAACCUGCCGACAGGAUGGGGACAACAUUCCGAAAGGAAUGCUAAUACCGAAUGAAGCGGAGGAGAGGCAUCUCCCCUCCGUGAAAGAUGGCCUCUUUUUAUGCUAUCACCUGUCGAUGGGCCUGCGUCUGAUUAGCUGGUAGGUGAGGUAACGGCUCACCUAGGCGACGAUCAGUAGCCGGUCUGAGAGGAUGAACGGCCACAUUGGGACUGAGACACGGCCCAGACUCCUACGGGAGGCAGCAGUGGGGAAUCUUCCGCAAUGGGCGCAAGCCUGACGGAGCAACGCCGCGUGAGUGAAGAAGGUCUUCGGAUCGUAAAGCUCUGUUGAUGGGGACGAACGUGCCUAAUGCGAAUAGUUUUAGGCAAUGACG
RNAcentral lists this ribosomal RNA (472 nucleotides) under Centipeda noxia. RNAcentral describes it as "bacterial SSU rRNA". It matches the Rfam family "Bacterial small subunit ribosomal RNA", at positions 28 to 474 of the family's 1533-position model. The record is from RNAcentral. Lineage: Bacteria; Bacillati; Bacillota; Negativicutes; Selenomonadales; Selenomonadaceae.